AGGAUUAGGUAGUUGGUUAGGUAAAGGCUGACCAAGCCAUUUAUCCUUAGUUGAUUUGAGAGAUUGAUCAGCCACAGUGGGAAUGAAAAAAGACCCAAACUCUUUUGAGGCAGCAGUGAGGAAUAUUGGACAAUGAGCGAAAGCUUGAUCCAGCAAUACUGAGUAAAUGAAGAAGGUUAUUUGAUUGUAAAGUUUUUUAGCUAAAUAAAAUAGUGAUGUUAUUUAGAAAAUAAGUUCCGGCUAACUUCGUGCCAGCAGCCGCGGUAAAACGGGGGGAACAAGCGUUAUUCAUCAUAACUGGGCGUAAAGGGCAAGCAGACUGUUGAUAAAGUUAAUAUAUUAAAAUUAUAAUUUAUUUAAUACUUAUCAGCUUGAGUUUAUAAAAGGAUUGGAGUACUCUUAAUGGAAAGGUGACAUUUUAAGAUAUUAAUGGGGACUGUCUAUGUGCUAAAGCACCAAUCUAGUAUAAUAACUGACGUUCAUAUGCUAAAGUAUGAGGAGCAAAUGGGAUUAGAGACCCCAGUAGUCCUAGGAGUAAACUAUGGACACCAGGUAUUUACCUAGCAUAUAAAAAUGUGCCAAAGGGGAGUACCGAAGUUAACGCAUUGAGUGUCCCGCCUGGGGAGUACGUUCAACUGAAUAAAACUCAAAGGAAUUGACGGGGGCCUGCACAAGCGGUGGAUCAUGUGGUUUAAUUCGAUGCAAAGCGAAGAACCUUACCAGGGCUUGACAUGCCACUUCUACAGCUGAAAGGUUGUAUUUUAUUGAUUGAAUCUCUGAUUCACACAAUUAGGUGGACACAGGUGGUGCAUGGCUGUCGUCAGCUCGUGUUGUGAAAUGUCGGGUUAAGUCCUAGAACGAGCGCAACCCUUGUCUUUAGUUGUAUUGUCUAAAGAGACUGCCGGUGAUAAACCGGAGGAAGGUGAGGACGACGUCAAGUCAUCAUGCCCCUUAUGUCCUGGGCUACACACGUGAUACAAUGGCCGGGACAAAAAGUAAUAGCUCAAAACCCGGUCUUAGUUCGGAUUGUAAGCUGCAAUUCGCUUACAUGAAGGUGGAAUCGCUAGUAAUCGCCGGUCAGCCACACGGCGGUGAAUAUGUUCCCAGGCCUUGUACACACCGCCCGUCACACCAUGGAAGCUGGCUCAGCCCAAAGACGUUACCACAAACCUUCGGGAUGGGGACGUCAAAUGCGGGGCUAGUAACUAGGGUGAAGUCGUAACAAGGUAGCCGUACUGGAAGGUGCGGCUGGAUCACCU
RNAcentral lists this ribosomal RNA (1259 nucleotides) under Hymenobacter sp. RNAcentral describes it as "bacterial SSU rRNA". It matches the Rfam family "Bacterial small subunit ribosomal RNA", at positions 237 to 1528 of the family's 1533-position model. The record is from RNAcentral. Lineage: Bacteria; Pseudomonadati; Bacteroidota; Cytophagia; Cytophagales; Hymenobacteraceae.